This 305-nucleotide ribosomal RNA is filed under the name uncultured bacterium. RNAcentral describes it as "bacterial SSU rRNA". It matches the Rfam family "Bacterial small subunit ribosomal RNA", at positions 335 to 639 of the family's 1533-position model. The record is from RNAcentral.
UGCCUACGGGGCGCAGCAGUGAGGAAUAUUGGUCAAUGGGCGGGAGCCUGAACCAGCCAAGUCGCGUGAGGGACGACGGUCCUAUGGAUUGUAAACCUCUUUUGUCGGGGAACAAAGGCGCCCACGGGUGGGCGGAUGAGUGUACCCGAAGAAAAAGCAUCGGCUAACUCCGUGCCAGCAGCCGCGGUAAUACGGAGGAUGCGAGCGUUAUCCGGAUUUAUUGGGUUUAAAGGGUGCGUAGGCGGAAUGCCAAGUCAGCGGUAAAAUCGCGGGGCUCAACCUCGCUCCGCCGUUGAAACUGGCGU